GCACUGCUGACGAGUCCCAAACAAGACGAAGCGGCUGUCCAGUGC
This is a non-coding RNA of Echinostoma caproni, 45 nucleotides long. NCBI's taxonomy places the organism in Eukaryota, Metazoa, Platyhelminthes, Trematoda, Plagiorchiida, Echinostomatidae. The record is from Rfam.